Long non-coding RNA from Drosophila teissieri, 228 nucleotides. RefSeq lists it as uncharacterized. The transcript has 2 exons. NCBI's taxonomy places the organism in Eukaryota, Metazoa, Arthropoda, Insecta, Diptera, Drosophilidae. The record is from RefSeq and is a predicted model, not a curated record.
UAAAAAGCCCUCAACUAGUCUAUGAAGAGUUUAUAACAAUAUGAGUAUUGGAGGCCUCUUAUUCGUUCUGGCAAUCUUUUUGCGCGCACCAAGAUCUCCAGCCAAAACUGAAAAAUGUAGUCCCUUGGAUUGUAGAAACGGGGAUUAACUAUAUUAUGACUAUAUAUGAUCAACAGUACUGCAAUAAAGUACUUUGGUAAUUUAUUUAAACGCUACAGUUCUGGUAAA